AUACGGAGGAUCCGAGCGUUAUCCGGAUUUAUUGGGUUUAAAGGGUGCGCAGGCGGCCAUUUAAGUCAGCGGUUAAAUCGUGGGGCUCAACCCCAUUCUGCCGUUGAUACUGGGUGGCUUGAUUGCGGUCGAGGUUGGCGGAAUUCGUUGUGUAGCGGUGAAAUGCAUAGAUAUGACGAAGAACACCGAUUGCGUAGGCAGCUGACCAGACCGCAAAUGACGCUCAUGCACGAAAGUGCGGGGAUCGAACAGGAUUAGAUACCCUGGUAGUCCGCACAGUAAACGAUGAAUACUUGUUUUCGGCGAUAUAAUGUCGGAGGCAAAGCGAAAGCGAUAAGUAGUCCACCUGGGGAGUACGCCGGCAACGGUGAAACUCAAAGGAAUUGACGGGG
Molecule: ribosomal RNA, 392 nt
Filed under: uncultured bacterium
Lineage: Bacteria
Description: partial 16S ribosomal RNA
Rfam family: Bacterial small subunit ribosomal RNA
Source: RNAcentral